CACCCUGUUGAGUUCCCCUGUCAGACCGCCCCCGGACUUGGUCUUGCAGUUAAGCAAAGCCACUGGUUGGGACUACUACUUGGGCUCUGCAGGAAUUGGUUCAUAUGGUUAUGGAAAUUUGCAAGAUCUGCAGUUGGCAAACUGGAGACCCAGGAGAGCUGAUGGUCAGGAUGGAUGCCCCUCUCUUCCCUCCUCUCCUCCUACCUGUGUGGUUUAAGCUGAAUUGACUCACUUCUACCUCCAAGAGUGUGUUCUGAAAGACUCAAAAUCAGGUAAUUCCAAUUUCCCUUGUCAGAGUUAUUGUUUAAGAGAUUGAUAUUUGUCAUAAACCAAUGUGACCUCAAUAAAAUAGAUUUAAAAAGAGAUUGAUAGUUAACCAGUUCACUAUUCCUAAACCAACAAGUGCAUAGCCUUUUUUGUUUUGUCAGAUUUACUCCACCAGACUAAAGAGAAGGACUGUCACUCUCUACUUGGUGGAGGGAGAUCCUGUCUUUCUACUUUCUCCCCUCUUCCAAUCUGGCUGAGGAAGCACAUUGCCGAGAUUGGGGCUGGCAGCUUUGCUGUGUAAGGACGAGCCUCUUAUUUUUCAUUUGUAUUUAAUUCUCCCUGUCGAAAAUAAGGGAUGUGACUUUCCUCCUUCC
Molecule: long non-coding RNA, 641 nt
Organism: Diceros bicornis minor
Lineage: Eukaryota; Metazoa; Chordata; Mammalia; Perissodactyla; Rhinocerotidae
Exons: 3
Source: RefSeq, a predicted model, not a curated record